AGAGGGAGAGGGAGAGAAUCUUAAGCAGGUUCCACACUCAGCACAAAGCCCGAUGCUGGGCUUGAUCCCCCCACCCUGCGAUCAUGACCAGAGCCAAAAAUUCAGAGUUGCCAUUCAACCCAGACACUGUCUUUCCUUCUCUUAUUAUAUCAGGUUAGUUGGUAUGGCUGGCCUUAAUCGUUCCUCCCCACCUACUGUUUGCUAUUUCUCAUCAUUUGUUAGCUGAAGAAUCAGUUGUUAACAUAAUGUGUAAAGUAAAUGUAUACUGGCUCCUAAUUAAAAAAAAAAAAAAAAUGGGCAAAGAAUCAGGAUCCAUAUUUCUCCGAAGAAGAUAUACAAAUGGCCCAUAAGCACAUGAAAACAAUGCUUGAUGGCAUUAGUUAUCAGGGAAAUGAAAGGAAAACCAUAACGAGAUACCGCUUUGUACUCAUCAGAGUGGCUAUGGUCAAAAAGUCCAAUAAGACUCGUGUUGAUGAAGAUGAAGAGUAACUGGAACCCUCACACACUUGGGAGGAAUGCGAAGUGGUGUCGUUGCUUUAGAAAACACAUCAAGUGAUUAAACACAGACCCGCAGACUUAUACAUAUGACUGGAUAAUUCUCGGAUUAGAUUUCAGGAAGAAAAGCAAACAAGGAAAAGUACUUCUGAAGUUCCACAGCACAUCAGUUGCCUCAACAUAGUAAAUCCAGGCGAAGAAAUGCCAAGACUCCAAUAGCUCAGCCCCAACCCUCUGAAAAGAUGACAAUGGCAACUAAUAAGUAAGAAGACAGACUGGAUCUCAUGAGGCGGAACUGAGACCAGCUCAUAACAUCUCAUAUCAGAAGAAAAUUCAAUUUAUGAUGCCAUUUACAGACAUUUCUAGUCUGCCUACAAGCUGCAAAAAUAUUAAUAUAGGUUUUUACCUUUAUGGAAAACAUAUAUACCCCCUAUGUUCAUCUUUACUUCAUUCCAAUUAUGAAUAAUUGAUAACUUUAAAGACCUUCCUUAGGAGAUUGUACCUGUCUUUCCCCAUUGCUUGUAAUGAGGUUCCUGGUGUUAUCAGAUAUUUCUUUCUAUUUUUACCAUCUUCUUUUGGAAACAAGGUGAUUUUAACUGAA
Molecule: long non-coding RNA, 1096 nt
Organism: Leopardus geoffroyi (Geoffroy's cat)
Lineage: Eukaryota; Metazoa; Chordata; Mammalia; Carnivora; Felidae
Exons: 3
Source: RefSeq, a predicted model, not a curated record